RNAcentral lists this ribosomal RNA (279 nucleotides) under uncultured bacterium. RNAcentral describes it as "partial 16S ribosomal RNA". It matches the Rfam family "Bacterial small subunit ribosomal RNA", at positions 506 to 784 of the family's 1533-position model. The record is from RNAcentral.
UGCCAGCAGCCGCGGUAACACGAACCGGACAAACGUUAUUCGGAAUUACUGGGCUUAAAGGGUGCGUAGGCGGCGUUAUAAGUCGGGUGUGAAAUCCCUCGGCUCAACCGAGGAACUGCGCCCGAUACUGUAACGCUUGAGGAAGGCAGAGGUGAGCGGAACGAAUGGUGGAGCGGUGAAAUGCGUUGAUAUCAUUCGGAACACCGGUGGCGAAAGCGGCUCACUGGGUCUCUUCUGACGCUGAGGCACGAAAGCUAGGGGAGCGAACGGGAUUAGAUA